CGGGGUGUAGCUCAGUGUGGCUAGAGCAUCUGCUUCGGGAGCAGAAGGCCGCAGGUUCAAGUCCUGCUACUCCGA
This 75-nucleotide transfer RNA is filed under the name Chloroflexota bacterium. Its description in RNAcentral is "tRNA-Pro". It matches the Rfam family "tRNA". Rfam says of the family: Transfer RNA (tRNA) molecules are approximately 80 nucleotides in length. Their secondary structure includes four short double-helical elements and three loops (D, anti-codon, and T loops). Further hydrogen bonds mediate the characteristic L-shaped molecular structure. tRNAs have two regions of fundamental functional importance: the anti-codon, which is responsible for specific mRNA codon recognition, and the 3' end, to which the tRNAs corresponding amino acid is attached (by aminoacyl-tRNA synthetases). tRNAs cope with the degeneracy of the genetic code in two manners: having more than one tRNA (with a specific anti-codon) for a particular amino acid; and 'wobble' base-pairing, i.e. permitting non-standard base-pairing at the 3rd anti-codon position. The record is from RNAcentral. Lineage: Bacteria; Bacillati; Chloroflexota.